CCCUUAGAUGUUCUGAGCUGCACGCGCGCUACACUGAUGCGAUCAACAAGUUUUUCCUAUGUCGAUAGACACGGGUAAUCUUUUGAACUCGCAUCGUGAUGGGGAUAGAUUAUUGUAAUUACUAAUCUUCAACGAGGAAUUCCUAGUAGGUGCAAAUCAUCAGUUUGCAUCGAUUACGUCCCUGCCCUUUGUACACACCGCCCGUCGCUGCUACCGAUUGGUUGAUCUGGUGAAUUAUUCGGACUGCCGGCUGAAGGGGUUUCCUCAUCUGCCAGCGGAAAGUCUUGUUAACCCUAUCAACUAGAGGAAGCAGAAGUCGUAACA
Molecule: ribosomal RNA, 324 nt
Filed under: uncultured eukaryote
Lineage: Eukaryota
Description: partial 18S ribosomal RNA
Rfam family: Eukaryotic small subunit ribosomal RNA
Source: RNAcentral